GACGAACGCUGGCGGCGUGCCUAAUACAUGCAAGUUGAGCGCUGAAGGCUGGUACUUGUACCAACAGGAUGAGCAGCGAACGGGUGAGUAACGCGUGGGGAAUCUGCCUUUGAGCGGGGGACAACAUUUGGAAACGAAUGCUAAUACCGCAUAAAAACUUUAAACACAAGUUUUAAGUUUGAAAGAUGCAAUUGCAUCACUCAAAGAUGAUCCCGCGUUGUAUUAGCUAGGUGGUGAGGUAAAGGCUCACCAAGGCGAUGAUACAUAGCCGACCUGAGAGGGUGGUUAGCCGGAUUGGGAGGGAGACAGGGCCCAAAGGGCUACGGGAAGCAGCCGGAGUGAAACGUGGGGAAUGGGCGAAAGUCUGAGCGCGAUAGGCCGAAGGAGUGAAGAAGGAUGCCGGGUCGGGAAACACGGUUUUUAGGGAAGAACGUGGGUGAGAGUGGAACGCACAGUAAGUGACGGUAACUACUAAAAAAGCACCGGCUAACUACGUG
Molecule: ribosomal RNA, 497 nt
Filed under: uncultured bacterium
Lineage: Bacteria
Description: partial 16S ribosomal RNA
Rfam family: Bacterial small subunit ribosomal RNA
Source: RNAcentral